RNAcentral lists this ribosomal RNA (497 nucleotides) under uncultured bacterium. RNAcentral describes it as "partial 16S ribosomal RNA". It matches the Rfam family "Bacterial small subunit ribosomal RNA", at positions 28 to 507 of the family's 1533-position model. The record is from RNAcentral.
GACGAACGCUGGCGGCGUGCCUAAUACAUGCAAGUUGAGCGCUGAAGGUUGGUACUUGUACCAACUGGAUGAGCAGCGAACGGGUGAUUAACGCGUGGGUAAUCUGUCUUUGAGCGGGGGACAACAUUUGGAAACGAAUGCUAAUACCGCAUAAAAACUUUAAACACAAGUUUUAAGUUUGAAAGAUGCAAUUGCAUCACUCAAAGAUGAUCCCGCGUUGUAUUAGCUAGUUGGUGAGGUAAAGGCUCACCAAGGCGAUGAUACAUAGACGACCUGAGAGGGUGAACGGCCACAUUGGGACUGAGAAAAGGCCCAAAAUCCUUCGGGAGGCAGCAGGAGGGAAACUUCGGCAAUGGAGGAAAGUCUGAACGAGGCAAGGCGCGGGAGUGGAGGAGGGUUUCGGGUCGUAAAACUCUGUUGGUAGAGAAGAAAGUUGGUGAGAGUGGAAAGCUCAUCAAGUGACGGUAACUACCCAGAAAGGGACGGCUAACUACGUG